UACGUAGGGUGCGAGCGUUGUCCGGAAUUAUUGGGCGUAAAGAGCUUGUAGGCGGUUUGUCGCGUCUGCUGUGAAAAUCCGGGGCUCAACCCCGGACUUGCGGUGGGUACGGGCAGACUAGAGUGUGGUAGGGGAGACUGGAAUUCCUGGUGUAGCGGUGAAAUGCGCAGAUAUCAGGAGGAACACCGGUGGCGAAGGCGGGUCUCUGGGCCGUAACUGACGCUGAGGAGCGAAAGCAUGGGGAGCGAACAGG
Molecule: ribosomal RNA, 253 nt
Filed under: uncultured bacterium
Lineage: Bacteria
Description: partial 16S ribosomal RNA
Rfam family: Bacterial small subunit ribosomal RNA
Source: RNAcentral